RNAcentral lists this ribosomal RNA (440 nucleotides) under uncultured bacterium. RNAcentral describes it as "partial 16S ribosomal RNA". It matches the Rfam family "Bacterial small subunit ribosomal RNA", at positions 338 to 795 of the family's 1533-position model. The record is from RNAcentral.
CCUACGGGUGGCAGCAGUGGGGAAUAUUGGACAAUGGGGGAAACCCUGAAGCAGCGACGCCGCGUGAGGGAAGAAGUAUCUAGGUAUGUAAAGCUCCAUCAGUAGGGAAGAAAAUGACGGUACCUGACUAAGAAGCCACGGCCAACUUCGUGCCAGCAGCCGUGGUAACACGGAGGGGGCAAGCGUUAUCCGGAUUGACCGGGGGUAAAGGGAGCGUAGACGGCAGCACAAGGCUGGAGUGAAAUCCCGGGGCUUAACCCCGGAACUGCUGUGGAAACUGGGCGGCUGGAGUGCAGGAGAGGUAGGCGGAAUUCGUAGUGUAGCGGUGAAAUGCGUAGAUAUUAGGAAGAACACCGAUGGCGAAGGCAGCUUACUGGACUGUAACUGACGUUGAGGCUCGAAAGCGUGGGGAGCAAACAGGAUUAGAUACCCUUGUAGUC